This is a long non-coding RNA of Xenia sp. Carnegie-2017, 325 nucleotides long. RefSeq lists it as uncharacterized. Lineage: Eukaryota; Metazoa; Cnidaria; Anthozoa; Malacalcyonacea; Xeniidae. The transcript has 4 exons. The record is from RefSeq and is a predicted model, not a curated record.
AAAGAUUACUUGUCAACAGAUAAAGAUUUUCUCUAAGAUUCUAUUUGUGAAAAGAAUUACCCUCAUUCAAGAUGCCUGGGAUCAAAAUCCGUGAUGUAGACAGGAAAAAAAUCCCAGCGAAGUAUAUAUGUACUUCCUGCCAUUUCCUCCUCGUCAAUCCAACACAGACAAUGUGUGGACAUUUGUUUUGUCAAUCUUGUAUCGACAUUAUACUUGGAAGUUCUGACCCAAAAUGUCCCGAAGAUCAAGAAAAAUUGAGCAGAAAUGAUGUUUUCCCUGAUGCUUUUACAAAACGUGAGUUGAAAAGUAUUCGUUUACAUUGUCC